GUACUGGUGGAGAAGAGGCUUCUUUGUUUGCUUCCGACAUUUUCAGAAUUGCUGCAAUUUGUGUCAAUGGAAAACUUAAAUUCGAGAGUGGAAUUCACAGGGUUCAGCGUAUUCCUAUCACUGAGAAAUCUGGACGUAUGCGCUGUAUCUGUUGCCAUCCUUCCCCAGGCUGAUGAGGUAGAUGUUCAGCUAAGGAAUGAAGAUUUGAGGAUUGAUACAUACAGGUCUGGUGGCUGCGGUGGUCAACAUGCCAACACAACCAACAGCGCAGUCCGAAUAAUCAAUCCAUCAUCCAACUGGGAUCAUGGUCUCCAUCCAAGACGAAAGAUCACAACAUAUGAACAAAGCCAAAGCACUUAAAGUACUCUGCGCUAAACUUUAUGAGAUCGAAAGGUUGAGAUUACAGAGCAGCCGGUCAAAGCUACGGUCAGA
Brassica oleracea var. oleracea is the source of this 432-nucleotide RNA transcript. It is a transcript of the gene named peptide chain release factor 1-like, with no coding region annotated. The record is from RefSeq and is a predicted model, not a curated record. Lineage: Eukaryota; Viridiplantae; Streptophyta; Magnoliopsida; Brassicales; Brassicaceae.